Molecule: non-coding RNA, 100 nt
Organism: Mytilinidion resinicola
Lineage: Eukaryota; Fungi; Ascomycota; Dothideomycetes; Mytilinidiales; Mytilinidiaceae
Source: the annotation of a RefSeq genome assembly
GGCAAGAUGGCCGAGCGGUCCAAGGCGCUAGCUUCAGGCUUUCCCCAGUGAGAGUAUGCUAGUAUCGUAAGAUGCGUGGGUUCGAAUCCCACUCUUGUCA